UACGGAGGGUGCAAACGUUGUUCGGAUUCACUGGGCGUAAAGGGCACGUAGGCGGCUCGGCAAAUCGGUCGUGGAAUCCCGACGCUUACCGUCGGAACGGCGGCCGAAAAUACCGGGCUCGAGGGCGUGAGGGGUCACUGGAACUCCUGGUGAAGCGGUGAAAUGCGUAGAUAUCAGGAGGAACGCCGGAGGCGAAAGCGAGUGACUGGCGCGUUCCUGACGCUGAGGUGCGAAAGCUAGGGGAGCAAACAGG
RNAcentral lists this ribosomal RNA (253 nucleotides) under uncultured bacterium. RNAcentral describes it as "partial 16S ribosomal RNA". It matches the Rfam family "Bacterial small subunit ribosomal RNA", at positions 524 to 776 of the family's 1533-position model. The record is from RNAcentral.